Molecule: long non-coding RNA, 3372 nt
Organism: Ictalurus punctatus (channel catfish)
Lineage: Eukaryota; Metazoa; Chordata; Actinopteri; Siluriformes; Ictaluridae
Source: Ensembl
UCAUAUAAAAUAGGUGAGGAGCUGAGAGAGAGUUGCCCCUCCCCCACAGGGAAAACAACUGAACAUCUUUUCCUGCUGGAGCUCAUUCUCUCUCUCACAGCUCCAUCUGACUGGAGGAGCAGCAGUUCACAGCUGGACAUCAACUCAAGGCAAAGGUGUGAAAACAGGACACUCAUCCACAGUCAUCACCAGAUCUCGAAGCGCUUGUCUUUUCGGAAAGGCUCAAUAUCAGUAAUUCUGUUGUUGUGGAGUCUGAAGACACAACAAAGAUAUUCAAACUUUCAUUAAACAGCUGCUUUAUGCAGGUGUGGGAACAGCAGCUCUAGGCUGUGAUCAGUGAGCUGGCAGUGGCUGAGGUCCAGUUCAGACAGACCUUCAGAAAAUUCCAGAAACAAUGCUAGUGAUCUACAGGCAUUGAGGUCCAGAGGGGUCUCACUGAGGUCCAUCUCUUCAUCCAGCGCCUGGGAGAGGGACAUAGCAUGCCUCACACAGUCUGACUCAUUCACCACAUGAAGACGGGCCAGGAACCGGAGCAACAAAGGUUUACUACAGCUGAAUCCAAACCAGUGCUACAAGAGAAGUCCAGUCUGCUCUGCAGAGCAGAGAAAACUGCUGCUACUGCCCCCUGCUGGAUCUCAGAGAUACUGCAGCAGUGGAUCAACUUCAACAACAGGACCCUGUCAACACUGAGAGCAAGGAAAACAAGCAUUUUCUUUGUUACACUUAUGUAUUUUUUAAUUAGUGGUGCUUGAAAAGCACUACUAUUGUUCUUCGGCAUACUUAUUAUAAAUAUUAUUCUUCUUCUGCCACUUUUUUUUCGGCGCGUAACUAGUCCCGCACCGUUUGUCGGAGAUCGACGGGUGAGGUGUCAAAUCGAUCGGCUUAUUGAGUAGAGGUGUGCUAUGACUUUUGGUAGCGAUUGUAAUGUCGGCAUUUCCGGUACGGAAGCUCAAAGUCGGAAAAUUUCCCAUAGACUUGCAUUGAGUUUUGAAAGUAUUGGCACUCUAAAGAGAAAGCUCUAAAAGUUUUGCCUCCGUACACAUUCGGCUCUAAAAUGUAUUGGCACCUGAUCUGUUCGGCACUCAGAAGUAUUGGCACCCUAUCUGUCCGGCUCUCGAAAGUAUUGGCACCCUACGCGGGUCGGCUUUUGAAAGAAUUGGCGCCCCGUCCCAGUUUCGCCGCGUCAAGCACCACUCACAUUUUCUUCAGGAAAUGUACCGGUCUAGUUAUUACUGCAAUUUCUAUUACUCUAAAGUGGAUUGUGAACACUGAGUUACCUGAGCUGAGAAACUCUGUUGAACAGAGGGAGAAUCUUCACCAGCUCCCCCUCUGGUAUGGAGGUCCACAGCAGGCUCAGAGAGACAGAAGUACAGUGUUGGAGGGUGAAGCACAGGGCAGUACAGUGGUAAGAGUCCAGCUCUGUAUUGUUCAGGUUGAUACAGCUGUGUGUUGAACUCAACAGACUGGACACACAGUGAGCAGAGCCAGUCUCAUAGAUCUCUCUGAUGAUUGACAGCACAACACUGGGGUUCAAUCUGUAGAGGUUACAAUCACAUCCAUACAUAAAUUUAACGAUAAAUAUUAUUCUUCUGUUAAACCAAUACAGGAGAGGCAAUUCUUUUUAUUUAUUCCUUUUCUUUCCACAAGGUUUAUUAAUUAUUAAUAUUUAACGAUAUGAGCCUCUGAGUACUGAGUGUGGAUAUAUUAUUGUUCAACAUUGAAGAUAUGUCCAUUAAAUAAUGCAUUAAGAUAAUAGUGUAUCUGAUUAUCAUAAAUGUUUACGUGUGUCAUUAUUGGUGCAUUAAUAUGUGGUACAUUUCUAUUCCAGAAACCACACAUAUAGUAAAAGGUGUCUUUGGAAGCAAGAGUGCCUGAUCACAUGAUGUUGACUAAUAAAGAUGAUCAGACAGCCAUAAGAGUUGCUUCAUCUUGAAUCAGGCUCACAUUACUCAAACCGGUGUUCAUGUGGAUGUGACUUCAUCUAUUCUUUUACAUAGCUUUGAGUCUUUGGAACUUAACACAGACUCUGAAAGUGCAUUACCAAGCAAAAUUCACUAUACCUUAGUAUUACUGUUAUAAAAUUAUAAUUAGUUUCAGUUUCGGAAGGAUGUUAAUGAGUUAUGUACAGUAGGUAUCUAAUAUUGUUCAAUAGUACAUUAUUCAAAAGUAAGCAAAGAAACAUUUUAGAUGUAACCCACCUAAUAGUCUUAAAUUGCUACUCAACAUUUAAAGAUUAAGUAUGAAAGCAGAAAUUCUUUCAAAGGAGAUUACAUGUGUAUCUUCUUACCGUUUAAACUGAAUUUCAGACAGUAGAGGAAGAAUCUGUCUGGCAUGAUUAUAUGUGAUUUUGCUCUUUCUGAUGUUCGCACUAAUGCAGCAAACUCGCUGCUGGAGAAAAUAGAUAAGCUCCUCCCAACUGAGAGAACAGGAAGUCAGGUCUCCUCCCACCUUCUCCAGGAAAAAGCGGCAUGACACAUGAGGCUGAUGAGAGAGUGAGCCUCCAUCCUGCACUCAGUGAGAUUCACACAGUGAACAGUCCAGAUGUUCAGGAGAGAAGACAAACUGCUCAGAAAUGUGAAGAUCUCUUUCUUUGGGUUUAUGCUGUUAAGCCUCAGACAGAGCUCCUCAAUGACCAACGAGCCACCAGCUCUCACUGCUCCAAAUGCUCGGACCAUCCUCCCUACCACACGGUCACUCAGGCUGACAAGCGUUCACCAAACACAUUCAUUAAAGGGGAUUUCAUGGUCCAGCUCAAUUUCACUCAUGCAUACUAAAGCUUAAUGAAGUUAUAUAACCUGGUGUGAAAAUUAAGAAACUGAUUAAUAACAUACCAGAGUUUCUGUAGGUGUGUGAUGUGUCUGAAGAGAAGUCUGGCCCCUCGGAGAGAGAUGGCUCGGGGUUUCAGAGUGAGUUUGACUUUGGAGUCUGAGAGACGUAGCACUUUCCUCACAGCCCUGCACUCACGAGUGGUUAAAACCCAGUCUAUAAUGAAGAUGAAGUCCAAGGCAGCAAAGAAAGCUCUCACCAACUUUGUAUCUUCUGCGCAGUCAACAACUGCUUUACUUAAACGUGGAAUGAACUCUUCUUCACAUCUAAAACAGACAGGAUUAAUGUAAAACUAUAAAUAGGACAUCUUCUAACUUAUUGUUCUUAAAAUUCCAUAAAUAACAUGUUAGAGGUGAUGCAGUGCUGCUAUAAAGUUUGUGAACCUUUUACAUUUUCUGCAUUUCUGCAUAAAUUUGAUCUGAAAUGUGAUCAGAUCUUCAUCUCAGUCAGAAAACUCAGUGCACCCAAUUAAAUAAACAAUGCAAAAACAGAAUUUUUUAUAUUUAUUUAUUGAGCAAAAUUAUUAAACAUUACAUAUCUGUGUCG